RNAcentral lists this ribosomal RNA (497 nucleotides) under uncultured bacterium. RNAcentral describes it as "partial 16S ribosomal RNA". It matches the Rfam family "Bacterial small subunit ribosomal RNA", at positions 28 to 507 of the family's 1533-position model. The record is from RNAcentral.
GAUGAACGCUGGCGGCGUGCCUAAUACAUGCAAGUCGAGCGAACAGACGAGGAGCUUGCUCCUCUGACGUUAGCGGCGGACGGGUGAGUAACACGUGGAUAACCUACCUAUAGGACUGGGAUAACUUCGGGAAACCGGAGCUAAUACCGGAUAAUAUAUUGAACCGCAUGGUUCAAUAGUGAAAGACGGUUUUGCUGUCACUUAUAGAUGGAUCCGCGCCGCAUUAGCUAGUUGGUAAGGUAACGGCUUACCAAGGCAACGAUGCGUAGCCGACCUGAGAGGGUGAUCGGCCACACUGGAACUGAGACACGGUCCAGACUCCUACGGGAGGCAGCAGCAGGGAAUCUUCCGCAAUGGGCGAAAGCCUGACGGAGCAACGCCGCGUGAGUGAUGAAGGUCUUCGGAUCGUAAAACUCUGUUAUUAGGGAAGAACAAAUGUGUAAGUAACUAUGCACGUCUUGACGGUACCUAAUCAGAAAGCCACGGCUAACUACGUG